This 514-nucleotide long non-coding RNA is filed under the name Pan troglodytes (chimpanzee). Its description in RNAcentral is "long non-coding RNA NONPTRT007811". Lineage: Eukaryota; Metazoa; Chordata; Mammalia; Primates; Hominidae. The record is from RNAcentral.
AGAGUUUUAUAAUAACUGCUUGUUUCCCAAAUAGAACCUCCUCAUAUGAAGCUAACUAAGAUAUUCCCAGACAGCAUCUUUCCAGCACAAUGAAUCCAGUGAAUACUGUGGUUAGAACUGUAUGUUUGUUACAAGAAAGUAAUAAAUUGUGUUCCUCAUUAAUGAUAAUUUGUAAUUGUUCAACAUCAUCAUUAGUAUGCAUGAAUAGCAUUUAAAAGUCCAUCCCCCAACAAGAAGGAUUUAUCCCUAAGAAGUAUAAACACUAAGUUGUUAUAAAUCAUUUCAAGAGUUUAUUUUUAAACAGAAUGUUGCAAUUAUAGGGGAGGUUUGAUUUGGCACAAUUUCACUUAUAUUAAUGUGAUCAUUUCAUCCACUUCUAGCAAUAAUUGUAUGCUCACUAAUGCACAUGUCAUAUUUCUUUUAAGAUGAUGGAGAAUGAAAAAAAAUGCAAAGAACACUAACAGCAAAGCAAAUUAUGUAUACAGAUAAACUAACACAAUUUGAUCAGAGUUUA